AGUGAACGCUGGCGGCAGGCCUAAUACAUGCAAGUCGAACGGCAGCACAGCAGAGCUUGCUCUGUGGGUGGCGAGUGGCGGACGGGUGAGGAAUACAUGGGAAUCUGCCCAGUCGUGGGGGAUAACGUAUGGAAACGUACGCUAAUACCGCAUGCGCCCUACGGGGGAAAGCCGGGGACCGCAAGGCCUGGCGCGAUUGGAUGAGCCCAUGUUCGAUUAGCUAGUUGGCGGGGUAAAGGCCCACCAAGGUCGACGAUCGAUAGCUGGUCUGAGAGGAUGAUCAGCCACACUGGAACUGAGACACGGUCCAGACUCCUACGGGAGGCAGCAGUAGGGAAUAUUGGACAAUGGGGGCAACCCUGAUCCAGCCAUGCCGCGUGAGUGAAGAAGGCCCUCGGGUUGUAAAGCUCUUUGUCCGGAAAGAAAGCAUCUGGUUAAUACCCGGGUGUUCUGACGGUACCGGAAGAAUAAGCACCGGCUAACUUCGUGCC
This 491-nucleotide ribosomal RNA is filed under the name uncultured bacterium. RNAcentral's name for it is "bacterial SSU rRNA". It matches the Rfam family "Bacterial small subunit ribosomal RNA", at positions 29 to 509 of the family's 1533-position model. The record is from RNAcentral.